Molecule: ribosomal RNA, 385 nt
Filed under: uncultured bacterium
Lineage: Bacteria
Description: bacterial SSU rRNA
Rfam family: Bacterial small subunit ribosomal RNA
Source: RNAcentral
AUUGAACGCUGGCGGCAUGCCUUACACAUGCAAGUCGAACGGCAGCACGGGGGCAACCCUGGUGGCGAGUGGCGAACGGGUGAGUAACAUAUCGGAACAUACCCUAGAGUGGGGGAUAACGUAGCGAAGUUACGCUAAUACCGCAUACGAUCUAAGGAUGAAAGUGGGGGAUCUUCGGACCUCAUGCUCAUGGAGUGGCCGAUAUCUGAUUAGCUAGUUGGUGAGGUAAAGGCUCACCAAGGCGACGAUCAGUAGCUGGUUUGAGAGAACGACCAGCCACACUGGAACUGAGACACGGUCCAGACUCCUACGGGAGGCAGCAGUGGGGAAUUUUGGACAAUGGGGGCAACCCUGAUCCAGCAAUGCCGCGUGAGUGAAGAAGGCC